GAUCCUGGCUCAGGACGAACGCUGGCGGCGUGCCUAACACAUGCAAGUCGAACGGAACUGUUUUGAAAGAUUUCUUCGGAAUGAAUUUGAUUUAGUUUAGUGGCGGACGGGUGAGUAACGCGUGAGUAACCUGCCUUCAAGAGGGGAUAACAUUCUGAAAAGAAUGCUAAUACCGCAUGAUAUAUCGGAACCACAUGGUUUUGAUAUCAAAGAUUUUAUCGCUUGAAGAUGGACUCGCGUCCGAUUUAG
This 249-nucleotide ribosomal RNA is filed under the name uncultured bacterium. RNAcentral's name for it is "partial 16S ribosomal RNA". It matches the Rfam family "Bacterial small subunit ribosomal RNA", at positions 15 to 245 of the family's 1533-position model. The record is from RNAcentral.